CACGUAGGGGGCAAGCGUUGUCCGGAUUUAUUGGGCGUAAAGAGCUCGUAGGUGGUUCGGUAAGUCGGGUGUUAAACCCCCAGGCUCAACCUGGGGACGCCACUCGAUACUGCUGUGACUAGAGUCCGGUAGGGGAGCGUGGAAUUCCUGGUGUAGCGGUGAAAUGCGCAGAUAUCAGGAGGAACACCGGUGGCGAAGGCGGUGGUCUGGGCCGGCACUGACGCUGAGGAGCGAAAGCGUGGGUAGCAAACAGG
Molecule: ribosomal RNA, 254 nt
Filed under: uncultured bacterium
Lineage: Bacteria
Description: partial 16S ribosomal RNA
Rfam family: Bacterial small subunit ribosomal RNA
Source: RNAcentral